RNAcentral lists this ribosomal RNA (465 nucleotides) under uncultured bacterium. RNAcentral's name for it is "partial 16S ribosomal RNA". It matches the Rfam family "Bacterial small subunit ribosomal RNA", at positions 28 to 507 of the family's 1533-position model. The record is from RNAcentral.
GACGAACGCUGGCGGCGUGCUUAACACAUGCAAGUCGAACGGAAAGGCCCUGCUUGCAGGGUACUCGAGUGGCGAACGGGUGAGUAACACGUGGGUGAUCUGCCCUGCACUUCGGGAUAAGCCUGGGAAACUGGGUCUAAUACCGGAUAGGAGCCAUUUUUAGUGUGAUGGUUGGAAAGUUUUUUCGGUGUAGGAUGAGCUCGCGGCCUAUCAGCUUGUUGGUGGGGUAAUGGCCUACCAAGGCGGCGACGGGUAGCCGGCCUGAGAGGGUGGACGGCCACAUUAGGACUGUGAGACGGGCCGGACUCCUACGGGAGGCAGCAGGGGGGAAUAUUGCACAAUGGGCGGAAGCGUGAUGCAUCGACGUCGCGUGGUGGUUGACGGCCGUCGGGUUGUAAGCUCCUUUCGCUAGGGACGAAGCUUUUUGUGAAGGUUCCUAGAUAAGAAGCACCGGCUUAAUACGUG